Molecule: non-coding RNA, 555 nt
Organism: Notechis scutatus (mainland tiger snake)
Lineage: Eukaryota; Metazoa; Chordata; Lepidosauria; Squamata; Elapidae
Source: RefSeq, a predicted model, not a curated record
AAAUCCUUUUUAUUUACACAUUUCAAUUACAGUGCAUAUGUUGAAAAACACAGUAAACUGGUUCAGUUUAUAAGCAUGGAAAUCACGAAUCACAUAUUUGUAAAGCACAAGAAAAGAAAUGGCGUACAAAAUGCACAAAGAUUACCUCUCAUAACAUGAGUUGUAAAAUUAUUGGGCUAGCAAACACUGUCAAAACAUGAGGCCAUAAUCACUCCCCAUCCCUACCCACUCCCACUGAGUCACUAGCAGGACAGAUCUUGCUUCAUUUGUCCCAGCAAAGAUAUCACAGUCCAUAUUAAGCAGAACACAUUGGAACAGCAUUUCUGGUUCAAUAUAGGCAUAUCCAGCAUUUCACAACAUUACAGGUUAGGAAGGAUCACACUCAGUUAACAGUAAGCAAGGUUUCACAAGUCUGACACUACUACUACACCACAACUAUUACCAAGCUACUACUACCACUCAAAGCAUACUAGAAGAACCUGGGAAAAGGAAAAGAUUAGUAGUAAGGGGAUCUGCUGGAACAGUUCACAGGUACUAUUUCCCUUUAGAGAGAAG